RNAcentral lists this transfer RNA (71 nucleotides) under Microtermes sp. A TB-2017. RNAcentral describes it as "tRNA-Phe". Lineage: Eukaryota; Metazoa; Arthropoda; Insecta; Blattodea; Termitidae. The record is from RNAcentral.
ACUUGAAUAGCUUAUUUUUGUUUAGAGCGCGACGCUGAAGAUGUCGAUGAGGUAUUUAUUGCCUUUAAGUG